This 1147-nucleotide ribosomal RNA is filed under the name uncultured fungus. Its description in RNAcentral is "eukaryotic LSU rRNA". The stretch from base 508 to 1147 matches the Rfam family "Eukaryotic large subunit ribosomal RNA", at positions 1 to 608 of the family's 3401-position model. The record is from RNAcentral. Lineage: Eukaryota; Fungi.
UGCGGAAGGAUCAUUAUCGAGUUAGGGUCCUCUGGGGCCCAUCUCCAACCCUUGCCUACUUACCAUGUUGCUUCGGCGGGCCCGUCUUUCACCGGACCGCUGGGGAUCUCCCCGGCCCGUGCCCGUCAGUAGCCCCUCGAAAUUCUUGCAACGGUGAUGUCUAAGUCUAAACAUAAUAAGCAAAACUUUCAACAACGGAUCUCUUGGAUCUGGCAUCGAUGAAGAACGCAGCGAAAUGCGAUAAGUAAUGCGAAUUGCAGAAUUCCGUGAGUCAUCGAAUCUUUGAACGCACAUUGCGCCCUUUGGUAUUCCGAAGGGCAUGCCUGUUCGAGCGUCAUUAUCAACCCUCAAGCCCGGCUUGCUGUUGGAUCUCACCGGUAGCGAUACCGAUGGACCCGAAAGAUAAUGGCAGAGUCCUGUGAGACCCUGGAUGCAGCGAGCUUCUUCAGCACGCGUCCCACGCGGCUCCCCGGCUCGGGCUUUAACCCAACCAACAUCAUCUGGUUUGACCCUCGGAUCAGGAAGGAAUACCCCGCUGGAACCUUAAGCAUAUUCAUUAAGCGGAGGGAAAAAGAAACCAACCGGGGAUUUGCCUCAGUAACCGGCGAGUUGAAGGCGGCAACAAGCUCAAAAUUUGAAAUUCUGACUCCUUUUGGGGGGUCCGAGUUUGGAAUUUGUAGAGGAUGCUUCGGGCAAAGGCUGCGGUUUAAAUUUGCUUGGAACAGCACGUCAUAGAGGGGUGAGAAUCCCCGUAUGGGAUCGGCGAGUCGUCGCCCAUGUGAAGCUCUUUCGGACGAGGUCGAGUUUUUUUGGGAAAGCCAGCUCUAAAAUGGGGGGGUAAAUUUUAUCCUAAAGGCUAAAAUAUGGCCAGAAGCCCGAUAGCGCACAAGUAGAGUGAUCGAAAGAAGAAAAACCACUUGAGAAAGGAGAGUUUAACCAGUAUGUGAAAUUGUUGAAAAGGAAGCGCUUNNAAUCCAGAUUUGGUGGCACUUGUUCAUCCGCGUUCGGGCCCGGGUCAUUCGUCACGUCCCGCCCAGCAGCGGUCUGGACGGUCGGAUAAAGAUCCCGGGAAUGUAUCUUCCUUCGGGUCGAGUUAUAGCCCGGGGUGCAAUGCAGCCCACCCGGACCGAGGAACGCGCUUCGGCUA